Molecule: unclassified non-coding RNA, 229 nt
Filed under: Hevea brasiliensis (rubber tree)
Lineage: Eukaryota; Viridiplantae; Streptophyta; Magnoliopsida; Malpighiales; Euphorbiaceae
Source: RNAcentral
CCCAGUUAUUGAACAUAACAAGUCUCCCAAAUCACUGAACAUCUCCUGAUACCCCUGAGACUGCUCAAUAGGAGCGAAAGGGUGAAGGUUGGUGAAACCGGGCCAUGUUACGGGCAUCAUUUCCGUUGUUGCGUUCAGCUUCAUCGUGCAAGACCCCAAUGGAAUCAUGCUGAGGUACCUCCAGAGGUUGCAAUCGAAGGACCUUUCGCUUUGCCACAGUAUGAUUCCA